GACGAACGCUGGCGGCGUGCUUAACACAUGCAAGUCGAACGGAGCACCCUUGACUGAGGUUUCGGCCAAAUGAUAGGAAUGCUUAGUGGCGGACUGGUGAGUAACGCGUGAGGAACCUACCUUCCAGAGGGGGACAACAGUUGGAAACGACUGCUAAUACCGCAUGACGCAUGACCGGGGCAUCCCGGGCAUGUCAAAGAUUUUAUCGCUGGAAGAUGGCCUCGCGUCUGAUUAGCUAGAUGGUGGGGUAACGGCCCACCAUGGCGACGAUCAGUAGCCGGACUGAGAGGUUGACCGGCCACAUUGGGACUGAGAUACGGCCCAGACUCCUACGGGAGGCAGCAGUGGGGAAUAUUGGGCAAUGGACGCAAGUCUGACCCAGCAACGCCGCGUGAAGGAAGAAGGCUUUCGGGUUGUAAACUUCUUUUGUCAGGGAAGAGUAGAAGACGGUACCUGACGAAUAAGCCACGGCUAACUACGUG
RNAcentral lists this ribosomal RNA (482 nucleotides) under uncultured bacterium. RNAcentral's name for it is "bacterial SSU rRNA". It matches the Rfam family "Bacterial small subunit ribosomal RNA", at positions 28 to 507 of the family's 1533-position model. The record is from RNAcentral.